Molecule: long non-coding RNA, 1726 nt
Organism: Oncorhynchus keta (chum salmon)
Lineage: Eukaryota; Metazoa; Chordata; Actinopteri; Salmoniformes; Salmonidae
Exons: 3
Source: RefSeq, a predicted model, not a curated record
CUAACAACGGAGCGGUCAACAGCAAGGGGGCGUUGUGUUUCCAAUCUGUUGUGGACAUCCAUUGAAAUGCAGUACAUCUGGCGCAAUGUAACAUAGUGUUUAUGGGUAAUGAAAAGUUUAGGGGCUUUAGGGUUGUCAGACAAUUUUUGGGCCAAACCUAGCUCAAAUUCUACACGUUGGAGUAAAACGAGGCUACAGCGUCCAUAAAUUAACCAUUAAGCCUCGUUCACAUUAUCCAUAAGCACUCCAUUACGCAGUGCUGGAUGUCAUGCAUUUCAAUGGGGACGUCCACAACGGAGUGGAAUUACAUCGCCCCACUUGCGGUUGAAGGCACCGUUGCAAGAAGGACACGACAUAAUUUGACAUUUUCCAAACUUUGCCUUGUCUUCAGUCCAGCCAGUCCAGCCAGAGUCCGGAAGUUACCAAACCACAGAACAAGAUGAAAAUGUGUGGUUUUCAUUGAUGGAUGAUGGCUGCAAUCCACUCCCAGUUAAGCGAGGUCCGGUCAGGCCUCCGUCAGCUCCAAAAUGCCCUGGGGGAUGUGAUGGACAUCCAGAACUUUCUUUCUGGUAGAAGUCAGCAAUGACUGGAGGCAAAACAUUAACACCAUUGAGAACUUGAAGUACGUAAAAUAUGCUGGGACGCAACAUCAGCGUUGGCUCCUCAGAGGAGCAAGACAAUACUGCUUGGUGACCUACAGAUUAUAUUUGGAGAUGGUUAUCGGUGCGGAGAAGCUAGGCACAGAACACUGAAUUCCCUGAAAACAUUUCCGGCGCCUACUUCAGUCCAAUCAAGCACUGGUCUAACUGAAUGUGGAUGUUGUGUUGGCUGAAUGUUCCAGGCACACUCCAGAAUGUUCUUCUGCUGGUGAACCUUGUGUUGUGCAAAGGCAGCUGGUCUGGCAGAAGUUCAUGAGCUCCAUGACCUUGGACUUAUAGACUCAUAGAUUUCAGCUCUUGCCAGCCCCAUGCAGUCAGCCCCAGGCAGUCUUUACCUCUUCCGAGUCAGAUGAUGUUGAGCUUGAGUUUUUUCCCGGAUUAAAGAUUUAAUCUAAUGGGUCUACAGGAUCUGUACUUCUAAAGCAGCAGCACCAGGAUUAGUCUGUAGGACAUACACUAGUCAGUGAUUUUACUACUUUGUCCCCAUGAAUACACACUCUGACAAGGUACUACAUCCACUCUUCACCCUUGUGUCAAUAGAUCAUGCAUACUAACCUUCACACACAAUACCCACUCCCAACAGACACCAGUCACCCACACCAUCCCCUCUUCACCAAGAACUAAGCUUUUCUCUGAUUUACACUUCAAGCUUUGCAUAAACAAUCAAUUAAUGCUGCAAUAUGUAACUUUUUGGGCGACUCAGCAAAUUCACAAAACAUUUUUUAACUAGGAAAGUCGGUUAUUAAGAACAAAAUCUAAUUUGUAAUGACGGCCAACAGUGGCCUUGUUCAGGGGUAGAAGGGCAGAUUUUUAUCUUGUCAGCUUGUGGAUUCGAUCCAGCAACCUAUCAACUGGCCCAAUGCUCUAACCACUAGGCUACCUGCUGCCCCCAAAAUGUGAGUUAUAGAUCUGUCAUUGUCAUUGAAAGCAAAUCUAACAAGCGGUAAAUAAACGCAGCAAAAAAAGACACGUCCUCUUACUGUCAACUGCGUUUAUUUUCAGCAAACUUAACAUGUGUACAUAUUUGUAAGAACAUAAGAUUCAACAACUGAGACAUAAACUGAACA